Molecule: long non-coding RNA, 11948 nt
Organism: Acinonyx jubatus (cheetah)
Lineage: Eukaryota; Metazoa; Chordata; Mammalia; Carnivora; Felidae
Exons: 4
Source: RefSeq, a predicted model, not a curated record
AGGAUGCAGACUUGAGAAGGUAAGGUGUUGCUGAGACGGUCUGAAUGUGGUACUUGGUGACAGAACCCAGAUGAAGAGACAGAAGGAUUAAGGAUCUCAUUAAAGUGUUUGGAGCUAAUAAGUGGCAGAGCUGAAAUUUGAACCCAGGGAAUUUCAGAAAACGAGCCUGACUUUCUUAACUGCUAAGCUGUACUAGACGAUUCUUAAUUUCCCAUUACACUCUCUCCCUGUGUGAAGGACUGUGGACCAUGAACCAUUCGGGAAUAGUUUUCCAGGAUAGCCAUUGGUAUUCAAGUCACCUGAAGGAAUGUGAACGGGUUUCCAGGGAGCAGUUUAGUCCCUUUGGACUGAGGUGAGCAGGGAAAGAACAUGGAGCAGCGUGUGCAUAUGGACCAUUAUCAAGACUCACGCGACACCUGUGAAGGGUACACAAUUCUCUGAUAUGGAAAGCUCCAGAGGACAAUGGCAACAUAGACAUGGCCAUGGGACUGGUUAUGCUGCGGUCUACGAGGGUACAUUCGAGUCUCAGGAUUGUGUCCCUUGAAACAUGGGGUAGGUCUCUGCCAGUCCUUGCCUUGCUCACCAGAAUGUGGCUGAUUGAUUGUUCUGAGCUGGAGAUAUGACCAAUGUUGAGGAAAUUUGAAUCUUCCUCUAUGAACUAAAGUUCAUAAUCUAAGAGAGCAUUAUUGAUAACAAAUAAGUAAUCUUUGCAGUUCCUGGCAGGGUCCUGGAAUUUGCACUACUGAGGUCCCAGAGGGGAAAGCAGAGUGAGGAGAUAAAUGAUGGGGAAAGGAGAAAAGGAAGAGGGGGAAAGAGAGAAAAGAAAAGGAAAAAAAGACCCGAGUUUCUGUUCCUUUUUUUUUUUCUUCCUCCUUUCCCAUCAUUCUCUGCCCCCUCUUUUGCGGUCUCCUUUCCCUUCCCACCUCUUCCCUUCUAGAUAACGUCUCAUCUUUUUAUCAUGUUCAUAAAUCUGGCCUCUCUUGGCUUUUCCAAUAUGUCAGUUCUGACCAUUAUUACCAGCCAGCCCAACUGAAGUAGACUGUUCUCUCAGAAUAGUUUCUUGUCUUCUUUGUCUAUUCCUUUGCUGAAGGGACACCUUCUGCACUCUCUGUGGUAUUAGGGACACUAUCAAUCAUUGGAAUGCACUUUUUUCAUGAUGGUCAAUCAGAGAAACCCAUCCAUCUGGCCAAAGAGUUUGGCACAGGGAUAGAUGUGUGACCAUUUGACCCAAGCAGAGCAAUCAAAGUCUUCCUUGGGAGUGGCUGUAGAGAAAGAAGUUCUUUUUCCAUUGAGGUUGCCAAACUGGGGCAGCUAAGAGCCUGUCAGAGCCAUUUUGCUUGCUACAUAGAGGGUUAUAGGGGUUGCUCUGGAAUGUAAAGCCAAGAAUUAAAAGAGGUAUAAGAUGGAAAAAGAGGAAUAGCUUAGAUACCACCUCCUGAAUUCCAGGAUCUCUAGCCAUGAUGAAAGCCUGUGGACUCCCAGACAUAGGAUCCAAGAAAUGUCUUUUAUGUUUAAGCUAGCCUCAGUUGGGUUUCUAUUAUGAACUGAUUAGCAUAACAAAGAUCAAAUGACCAAGUGGUAGAAUUUUUAGAAGUUUCCACAGGUUAACUAGAAUUGGUUGUUGUUAGUUCCUACCAAUAGUAUCGCAACCAAUGUUCUGGGAAAACCAUGUAUUUGGAGAUGACUGCCUAAAUGACCACCGCCUUUGAUCUACUUUGGCAUUGUCCAAGUCUCAAAUACAAUACCACAGGUUGUUUAACUGGCUUUAUGUCCAUUCUGGUCUUCUUCAUUUACAUAACUGAUUUUUGUGUUAGAUAUUGUCUGUUAAUAACUAUCCCUGCUUUUCUUUCUUUCCCUUUCUUUGCAUUCUGGGGCUAAAAGCCUGGAAAUUACAUUUCUCAAACUCCUAAUCAGCAGGAUUCCAGUUAGAUUCUGCAAAUCAGUCACUUUGGUGAGGUCUAGAAGGCAUCUGGGAGGUUCAAGUCAUUUCUCUCUAGCAUCAACUAUGGAAAUGUGUGUGGGUGUCAGCAGAUGGCAGAUGUGGGUUUUUGUGAGUGGUUUUUGGAGUCCUCCUGAAAGUCACUUCUGUAGGGCAGGCAACUGGCUUCAUUGGUGGCAGCUUUCUGCUGAUUCUGGGCCUUUGCCCAAGGACUAGCUAGUAGAGCUACAGAUAGCAGGAGCUACCCUUUGAUUCUGACUUUUCUGAUUUCCUGAUUUCCAGCAGCCCUCCUGACCAUUGUCCUCACAACUUUGCCAAUGUUUAUGGAAGCCUCCAGUUUCCUGUAUUUAAUGUCUUCUUAAUUGAGAUCCCUAGAGUGACUUCUAAAUUUCUGACCAAACCCUGAUUGAAUCACUUUAUUAUCUUGUAUCAUGUUAUAAAGAGUCAGUUACUUACAGAAAGACCAAGAAAGAUCAUACAGUGUUGGUCAAAAUUAUCAUCCUUCAACUCUAAAAAUUGUGAAGCCACUACUGUCUCUUACUGCUGGAUUGAAAGUAUUUAUCAAAUACAAUCCACUUGGAAAGGCCUUGAGAGGAAAUAAAAUGUUUCAUUAUACACUCAGAAAGGCUAAGUCUCUUUAGAAGGGGGUAGUCUUCUGAGGGUUACUUGUCUGGAUAUGAAGAACUCAUUGUGCAUGGCUACUAAGUUAUAGUUGUAAAUGAGGGGAAAGAGGGCCAUCAGCCAAAACUGCAAAUUAAAAAGAAAGUUCUCUGGCUUUGGGAAUUUGAUAAGUCCAACCACUUAGAAUAGUAGAAUCUUCUGGCUCCUCUUUGGCUCUGCUGAAUCUUGCUUUUGAAUGUCCUGAACAUGCUAUUGCCAUCUCUUGGUUAUUUCUAGAGUGUUUCAAUCAGAGUAAGUUAGGCUAUGUUGUGGUUAUAAAUAACUCCAAAAUUUCAGGAGUUUAACUCAAUACAGGGUUUAUUUUCACCCCUGCUACUGCUGGUCUACUGUUGCUUAGGUAGCUCUCCUAGGUAGGCAGUAUUUCUUCAAGCAGUGAUGUGGGGAUCUAGGUUCUUUCAGUGGUGCCUCUCUCAAAACUUCACUGCCCCCACAGAAGGGCAAGAGAGGUCCAACUUCACACAGAGGCCUAGAUGUGGCAGAUAUUACUGAAAAUUGUAUUAUGUUGGCUAGAUCCCAGUUAUAAGGUCCCAGUGUAACUACAGGGAGGCCUGGCAGUAUGGUUUCCCAAUGUUAUUAAUAAGCUUCUAGCUAUCUGUGGCCAGAUUCUACGAGAGAAUCAUCCUUUCAAUGUUCCAUGUUGCUCUCACCUCACAAAUCUGACCAUACUUUAACAUUUUUUUGCUCCCCCAAGGGUUCUGUCAUUCAUAUUAUUUUCUUUAUCUAGAUCAACUGAAUGAACCCUCAUUUUUCUUAUCUGAAUGAUGGCAGAAUAAACACAGAACGUGUGUUUAUAUGCUGAAUCAUAACGAUGAUAGCAGUCAGUGGUUCAGGUUCUCUGAUCAUCUUCACUGUACUGUGAGAACUGGAAGUCUCACUCUGCUGCCUCCUGGUGAAGUGUUUCCUGGUCUCUCCAUCCUCUGUAUCCUUUUUGAUUCUCCAGAACAAGCAGCAUCUGUAGUCCAUACUCGUGGUUCCCAAAUUUUAUGUGCAUCAGAAUCACCUAAACAGCUUAUUAACACAGAAAUUUCUUGGCCCUACUCUAGAGUUUCAGAUUCGUUUUGGUCUGAGGGUGUGGCCUGAGAGUUUGCAUUUUUGAAAAAUUCCCAAGUGAUGCUGAUGUUGCUGGUCUGGGGACUGGGUUUUGAGAUUUAGUGGUGUAUACCAAAUAUUUUAGGGUGAAAUUUUGUGUAAUCUCGAAUUAUUUGCUAUUUUGUUAACAUUCAAAUCAAUACAUUUGAGUGCCUACUGUGUGCAAGGCCUUAUGCCAUCUGGUGGUGGUCAUUAGUUGUACUUCAAGGAUAUCAUUUUAAUUUAUUUUUUGAAUUCUGUAUCAUUUUAGUAGAUAUUAGGUUGAUAUUUAUUAAUUGGUGUGAACCAAUACAGUAGACUUCUACUGUCUAAUCUUUACUUAAAACAAUGAACGAUUAUCAGAUUGAAAAUAGACGGUGCAAACAUGGUAUUUGGGACUGCUUAUGAAAACGUGUGAUGCCAUCUUUUGACCUCUGGGAUUGUCUUAUGGGAAUAGACAAUCUUACUCUAUUAUGUGAACAUCAUUCUGAAGCAAUACAAUAAACAUGGCAUGUGAAUUAUUCAAUUUCAUGUCCUUGGACAUCAUUAGUCAAAGGUGUUGCAAAAAAGAUAAUUAGACUUGGUCCUUAAUUGAAAGACAUUUGACUUUACACAGAUAUUAAUGGAAGUUAAGUUGCAAACCUUCCAGAAUAUGUUUAAAUAACUAGAUAAAGUGGCUUUGAGAUUUUAAUUUGGCCCUGAUGCUUAUUGGCCAAAGGUGAAUUUUACUCAAGAGUAUUGAUCCUGUUUUAUUUUAAUGUUCAGUAUGUUUGCCAUGGGAUAUUUUAGCUCCACAAGGACUCAUGAGUUGAAAGUCGUUUAAUGUUCCAUAACAGUAGCAGCUACCUAGAAACGAUGAUUGUUCUGGUAACAUUGAAGGUUUGACUUCAGUUUUGCAAAGUAUUUUACAACUAAUUUUCUCAUACAAUAUAAAAUUUGGGGCUAAUUUCACUUCAAUAGUGAAAAAUCAACUCUUAUUUGUCCUGUGGGUAGAAGUUGUAAAUAAUAUGAAUUUCACAGUCUACAAAUUGUUUUACAUUGCUUUGAAACACUUUUGAAGAUGAGGAAGAAAACUUUACAUAUUUACACAGUAAAGUCAUUCUACUCUUAUGCCAGAGUAAGUACUAUUCUCCUCUUAAUCUUUUUUUCCUCCCAUCAAUAUUUUUUUUCAUGUUUAACAUGUUGAAACCCAUGUUCAAGUUGCAAAAGUGUCCAAAAUUGUUGGGAACAUGCCAUGGGAAGAAACUUUCUCUUUAAUUUUAUUCCUCUUAUUUCCAGCUCUAUGGAAGAACAGCCUCUGGCUUUUUCUUUAGCUCUGCAAUUUUUUUCCUUCUCAAAUUGGUACUGCCUUUUGAUCUUCUAGAGUUCUACAACGGAAUAAAUAUGCAUAUAGAUAAAAGGGAACAUGUGAAUAAAAUAUAUUUAGACUUUCUGAGACCUUUGACAAUAUUUGCAUAAAGAACUUAUUAAAAGUUGAGUCACUAGCAUUGCCUAUAUUAUUUUGUCAAUGGUGGCAACCAGUUUAAAGUAUAGGAAGAAAGUAGAGCAAUAAGGGAAAAUAAUAAUUUUUCCUAUCUCAGUGGAAAAAUGAAUUCAUAGGCAUCAAUUCUAUAAUAAAUUAGGGGUAAUGAUCUCUAAAGCAAGUGGGUAAGCUUUGAAGAUAAUAUCUUGCUUUUCCAAGUUAGUUUGCGUAUUUUGAGGCUACAUGAGUACUCUUCAUUGCCAGAAGAGUAUAUGUGGAUACUUGGAAUGUUUUAGGAUAAAUUCUCACAUCUCAUUCUGAGGAAAUUCUUGGUUAAAUAAAAUUAAACCGAGGUUUAUAAUGUAGAGUCUUGUCAAUAUCUGAGUGCAGAUAGAGUAUUCAGUGUUUCUCAAAUUUACUUGAUCAUGGAACUCUUUUGGCUCUGAGUACUUUUAACAAUUCAUGAGAUGAUGGCAAGCUAUAGGUCACAGUUCUGGAAAUGCAGAUCUAAGUAACUGUUAUUGGGUGAACAUACAACUUAGGAGCCAUUAUAAUAUGUUAAAUAAUCAUCCUGAGCAUUAAAUGAUCAACUAGUGUUGAGAAAAGUCAAAAAGGAUAUUGUGUUUUUAAACAAGUUUUUAAAGUUUAUUUGAGAGACAAAGAGAGACAGAGCAUGAGCAAGGGAGGUGCAGAGAGAGAGGGAGACACAGAAUCUGAAGGAGGCUCCAGGCUCCGAGCUGUUAGCAUAGAGCCCCAUGCAGGUCUCGAACCCACAAACCAUGAAAUCAUGACCUGAGCCGAAGUAGCCACACUCAACCGACUGAGCCCCCCAGGCAUCUCUUAAAGAAUUUUUUUAAUGUUUAUUUUUUAGAGUGAGAGAGGGUGAGAGUGAGGGAGAGAGAGAGCACAAGUAUGGUAGGGGCAGAGACAGAGAGAGGGAGACACAGACUCUGAAGCAGGCUCCAGGCUCUGAACUGUCAGUACAGAGCCCAAUGCAGGGCUUGAACUCCCAAACCAUGCGAUCAUGACCUGAGCCGAAGUAGGAUACUUAACUGACUGAGCCACCCAGGCACCGCUCAAAAAGGAUAUUUAAAACAAAGAACAGUUCUUUGGCACCUACUUUAUCAGGCAAAGGAGCUCUAGCUAAUGGCAGUUCCUUCUCUAGAUUUAAUUCCGCCCCCAAGAACUUUGGUUCUUUAGUUUUCUUCUUUCUUUAUCUUCAGUCUUGUUCUCACUAGAUGAUUAUGCCCAUCAUCGUUUACUCAAAACACACUGAAAAAGCCCUUCCUUGUCACCACAACAUCCUCUGUCUAGCUCCCUCACCUUUCUAUUGCUUUCGUAAUCAAACUUCUUAAAACACUUGUCUCCAUAAGCUGACUCCCAUUUUCUCACCUAUUCAUACUCCAGUCUAGCUUCUACUGAAACCGUUCUUUGCAAGGUGAUCAAGACCAGUGAUCAAGAGGACCAUGUAUCUUAUUGCCAAUGAGCUGCUGGAAAUGAAAGGAGGCACUAUUAAUAAUCCUGUGUACAUAAGAGGCAUUCCCUUCACUACCGUACUAAUGCCUGUCAAUAAUGGAUGAGAGGCUACUCCCAGGGAUGUUACUCCCUAGAGCUUCUAGUCUGCCUUGCUUCAUUCAAGAAAGAUUUUAGUUGCUGGCAUUUGUUCUUGGAAGCCUGCAUUAGGUACGCAGUAGUCCCCCAUCAUUCACCAUUUCUUGUUCUUUGAAUCCAGUGACCUGCUAUCAACUGCAGUCUGGAAGCAGAUGUCUGGAAGCAGACACAUUGUCGGAAGGUCAGCAGUAGCUUAACACAACAUCACACUGCCCAUGUUGUUCACUUUACUUCAUCUCAUCAUGUAGGCCUUUUAUUAUCAUCAAAAGAAGAAGAAGAGAGUAAGCACAUUCACAUAACUUUCAUUACAGUAUAUUGUUAUAAUUGUCCUAUUUUUAUUAUUAGUUAAUGUUGUUAAUCUCUUAUGUGCCUAAUUUAUGAUUUAAACUUUAUCAUAACUGUAUAUGUAUAGGAAAAACAUAGUGUAUACAGGGUUCGGUGCUAUCUGUAGCUUCAGGCAUCCACUGGGGUUCUUGGAAUGUAUCCCCUCCCAGACAAGCAGGGGGGGGACGACAGUAUACAGUAUGGUGAGUACAGAUGGCAUGUGCAUGGGUAUCAACAACAUCUGUGGCAGCAAAGCAUCAGGACAAGGCUGAAAAAUCUUCUGGUAUGAACGACAUUAGACUUCUUGCUUAGUAAACUAUCUCAUCUGCACAGAAAUCAAACCACAUUGAUGUCUGAAGAUAAUCUGGCCAAGGAGCCUCAGUAAAUGAAUCUGAAGGAUUUAGAAAUCUUAAAAUUCGUAUACUUGCUUAGAUGUCCUUGAACCAGGCACAUGACUAUAGCAUGGUAAACCCUGAUGGGGAGAGAAGUUUAUGUGAGGUUUGAGAUAGAAUCAUGACAACAGUACCAGCAUCUGACUGGCUAAUUGUAAUGAAGAAUUUAAUGCACAAGUUGUGAGCAGUGCCAAGGAACUGGAAAAUUCUCCAGCUGUGGUCUGCUCCUCAGCAAGCUCAUUACACUUUAGCCCAGGAUCACCAACACUCUCCUUUGUUCCAAGUUAUUUUGCAAAUGACUGCUCAAAGGGGAUCCCCAUCUUGGGAGAUCACAAUCCUCCCACUGUGACUUCCUAGCUCAGCCUUGUUCUGCCUUACUGGUUUUUCUAGUAGUCCAGUCCAACCAAAUGUGUUUAAACCAGUAAUACUGCCUAUCUCUGAUGAGAAAUACUUCAGAUGUUUUGGCUUGUCCCUCUUUCCUAGGAGAAAGAAAGAAUGAGACAGCAAGAGAGAGGGAGAGAGGCAUCUUGAGUACACCGAAUUCCACCUGGAAUUAUCUUACUGACAUGUCACUUUCAGAGGUUGCUGUUUAAUAUACCGUAGUCAGGAGCAAGCAGGUAGCAAAGUGUAAUGGAGGGAGCCUGGACUUAGUGGUUUGAGUGGGUUUAACUUCUUACUCUCUUCCUUAUUCACUAUCCAGUCCUGGACUAGUUACCUCUCUGCACCUCAGAUUCUUAUCUCUAGUGUGGACAUGCUAACAUUUACUUAACAGGUGCGCUAAUAACAACAAUAAAAGUAAUAAAUAAGAGUGACUUUUUUUUUGUCAAAAUGUGUGUUCUGUGUCUUCAUAUCUAUCUUGAUAAUCAUACCAGAAAUAGAAAAGACUCUUACCAUUUGAAACAAAAUCUCAAUACCAGUUUUUCUGAGCCAGAAGCAAUUAAGAGUGAGUCAUCCAGAACCAUCUCCACCAAAUUUUUCCUGAAAUGUGUAGCCUAACGCGGCCUGAUUGGAUUCAUUCCUCCAGUUAUGGCUUAAUAUAGUUGCAAGGCAGGACUAUACUAGGCUAUAUUUUUUUCCUGUUUAACUAUAAUCUCCUUCCAAAGGUUGCUAUGAAUAAAACAAACAGACAAAUUAAUGGAGUUUGCUUCUCACUAUGGAUUUCUUAUGUUAGAAAAUGUGCAGUCCUAUAGUUAUUCAAUGUGAUCACCAGAUAGGGCUUGUCUGUCAGGGAACCCAAAGUAGUGGUUGGUGAUAAAUUUCAUGCAUGGUAUACCAAACAAACAAACAAACAAACAAACAAAUAUUUAAUUAAGAAAUUAGCCCAUCGAAAGAAUUUAGGACUAAAUUAAGUCCAGGUUACUUCUGCCCCAGGAGCAUCUCAUAGAUGCUUACUGUGCUUCUGAAACUUGCAUGAACUUACUUUUAGCUUGCCUCUCUAGGCCUGGAUUUCCCAGGUGUAAAUUAAGGAAAUUAGGCAAUCUUUCAUUAGAUAAUCUUUAAUGUCUUUUUCUGAUGUUUUAAGUGUAUGGAACUUGGAGUAAGGUGAAGCAGACCUCAUAAUUAUUUAGGUACUAAGUGGGACUGUUACCAGGCCAAUUUCCUCAGAGAAAUUAAUACAUUUUUGGGGGCCCAAAGCAUAGAUCUGCCAAGAACACUUUUUCAGGGUUCUGGUCACAAGUUACAAAAAUCCAUUAAGGGUGAUUUAAGCAGAAAAGGAAUUAUUAAAAGAAGCUUAGAGAGCUGGUAAUAUUGCUGGGAUAGUUAAAGAACAAGACUUGGGGCCACAUGGCAGAGACAAUACCUCAAAUCACCGGUCCAGUGAUAUUCUGCUGUUACUGUUGAGCACUGGUUCCCACAGCUUACCCUACUGGUGGCAUGCUCUUGGACACUGGAUGUGGGUGCCAACAUUGCCUCUACCUAUUGUCAGGAAAGGUUCUGCAUGGUCAUUUAUUUCUAAUUAACAGUUGGAAGCAAGUGCUCUGAUUGGUGGAGCUUAGGUCAUAUGGUCAUGCCCUAGCUGCAAAGGAGCCUGGGAAGGUGAUAUCUUGUUGCAGCAUUAUUUUGCUACUUCAGCUUCUGAAGGGGAAAGAAGUCUUUGCCUUCCACCGAGACUCCGUAGGUGGAAAAAUUUCCAGACAUAGGAAGUGGUUCAGAUGCCGUAAAAACAAUAGAAUCUUUGGGAAAAUGUUCAGGAAAAAAUGACAGUAUCCACCUCAAUCCAUUUGGCGAGUGCCUCCUAUUCCAUAUCACAACAGAAGCCUUUUGCAAUGAAGCAACAGACUACCAAAUUUUAUUCUCUAAAUUCUGCUACCAAAUUUUAUUCUCUUUGCAUGCAACCAUCAGAAUGUCAUAAACAUUAGUUUUGAGAAGAAAAACAUUUCCAUUUUUGUCUAUUUCAUGAUGUCUCUUUUUUAGUUUGUAAAACAUUGGGUCCAUCAAAAUAAGCACCAACAUUUUCUUAUAAAACUGGCAUCCGAUAUGAAAUAAGAUACACUCCCUGCACUUAUGACCUCAAAAAUUAUAUUCAUUAAGGGGACUGUAUUCAUUGUGAAUGAUUAUACAGUUAAAUAACUUAAAACCUGACAAGGAAUAUCAUUUUUGUGCUUAUGGGAUCUGGUCCCCCUGAAAAAGUAUUAUCACCAAGACCAUCCUUUGGCAAUUGUGGAAUAGGGAAGGUUUUAGGGCCCUCAUUUUCCAUUUCCUUCACCUCGAUGAUAAUUAUUCUCAGGAAAUGAUUUCAUAAAAUGUAAUUUAUACUACGCAGUCAUUUAUAUAAAUGACUUUUAACAUCUAUUGGGUAAUUCUUGGUCUUUUAUCUCUGAUUCUGUCCUUAAAAGAGAACUCAUUGUGAGGACCCACUAUCAGAUCUUGCCAGCAUGGCUGUGGGAAAUAAAUUGUGUGGAGUUGAGGAGGAGAGGUGAUGUGAUCUGUUGGUGCUGCAGGAAGUGAGCCCAGUGUGUCAGACAGAUAAUUAAAUAUCUAUGUUUUUAAAAAUGCUUAUAAUAUGUCUAGUAUCUUUACAGUAAUGUAUUAUAAUCCUCAUUUUAUACAUGAAGAUACCAAGUCUCAGUGAGAUUAGAAAACUCAUUCUAGGCAACUGUGUUAGAAAGUCUCUUAAAGAGGUCUCUGUGCUAAUCCCUACAAUCUAUGAAUAUGUUAUAUUAUGUGGCAAAGUAGAGUUAAGAUUGUAUAUGGAAUUAAGGUUGCUGAUCAACUGACCUUAAAGUAAGUAGACUAUCUUAGGUGGGCACAUAUAGUCUCAAGGGGACUUUAAAAUGGAAAAGGGAAGCAGAAGAGAAGGACCACAGAAUAACAGAGAUUGGGAUAUGUUACGCUACUGGCUUUGAAGAGGAGGAGGAACCACAGAUCAAAGAAUGCUUGUGGCUUCCAAAAGCUGGAAAAGGCACAGAAAUGGAUUUUGCCCUAGAGUAUCCAGAAGAAAUUGGUCUUGUCGACACCUUGAUUUUAGCCGACUGAGACCCAUUCUGGACUUCUGACCUCCAGGACUGCAAGUUAGUAAAUUUUUAUUGUUUGAAGACAUAAAACAUGUGGUGAUUUGUUAUAGCAGCAGCAGCAAACCAAUUAGUACAGCCACACAAGAAUUAAAUGUUAAAGCCAGGAUUCAAAGUCCAAAUCCCAAAUUCUUUCAGUGUAGUUCAAAGGCAAAAAUCAAAAGACAUAGGCAAAAGAGGCUCCUGUUUAGUUAAGAAGUCAUAUAAGAGGCCAAGAACAAGAUGGAAGGGGUCUCAAGAGGUGGAGGAUGAAAAUCAUGGUAUGAUUGGGGUGUUAUUAGAAGAUGAUAUUAAAGGUAUCAUUUUCUCAGAAGCCCUGGGCAAACUGAAUCCUGCUUUUUGCCUCUCUUCCCAGGAGUGAACCAAGGCAAAGCAAGCAGACAUGCACGUUUACUAGCAAGAAUGUAAGCUCCAUGAGGGCAGGACAUCUGCGUUGUUCACUACCAUACCCAAAGAACCAACAAUGGGGCCCGGAACAUAAUAUGUGCACAACAUAUAGUGAGUGUACUAAUGAAUAAAUGAAUGGUGCUUUUUCAAGCCCUCAUAUCCAGUGAGUUAAUCUGGAUGAGCAGGAUGAUCCCUUCUUUAUUCCAAUGCUAGGAAAGCCUGUGGCAACUUUGAGUCCAAUUCAGGCAGAAGGCCUGCUCUGUUUUCAUCCCAAACACCAAGCCUGGAUUUCACAUCUCAUAGUAAUAUAUUGAUAGCUAACACUUAAAUAGCAUUUGAUGCUGUUUUAAGUGAUUUACCUUUAGUAACUCAUAUGUUAUACAUUCAUGUUUUAAUUCACAACCAUUUGAUUUAAGUACUACAUUACUCCCAUUCCACAGAUGAGGAAACUUUAGGUACCAGAAGUUUAGGAGGGUCAUUCAUACUUACACAGCUUGUUAAUCAUGGAGGUGAUCCAGGCAGUCAGGCCCCAGAUUUCAUGUUCUUUACUACUUUGUAAUAAAAUAGGAGAG